GGAGCCACCCUUUUCCUGGCCGCACUUCUCUAGCGUCGUGGCAAACGACACCACUCUUGCGCAGGUCAUCAAGGCCGAGUUCUGGGAGUGGUUCGUGUGCGAGGAGGGGAAAGAGGCCGAGGCGGCAAAAAUCCAGGACAAGGUCUGCAGAGAGCGGCUGAAGGACAUGUACUCCGAGGCGCACAUCCAGUGCGUCAUCUCCUACCACCAUGAGGUGCUUGGCCAGAAGGUGACAAAGAAACAGGCCAGGGAGAUGAUCAUGUUCCCCGACACUGAUAUCACCAGAGAGCAGUACAUGCAGUUUCCUGCUGAUUGGUGCAAAUCACACACCGACUGUUGGGCUCAGAUUGUGGACUCGUGGCAGAGGCCGGAGGGGUACGUGGAGCGC
Sorghum bicolor (sorghum) is the source of this 388-nucleotide long non-coding RNA. RefSeq lists it as uncharacterized. The record is from RefSeq and is a predicted model, not a curated record. The transcript has 3 exons. Lineage: Eukaryota; Viridiplantae; Streptophyta; Magnoliopsida; Poales; Poaceae.